UUCUCGCCAGGCUCCUGCAGCCCCAGGCGUGAACCGAGGUUUCUGAACUACUGGGCGGGAGCCAACGUCUCUUCUUUCUCCCGCUCCGGCGGAGGCUUUGUCGCUGCGGGUUGGGCCCCAGUGUGCCCCCCAUGGCGGGGCCGCGGGUGGAGGUCGAUGGCAGCAUCAUGGAAGGGGGCGGCCAGAUCCUGAGAGUCUCUACGGCCUUGAGCUGUCUCCUAGGCCUUCCCUUGCGGGUGCAGAAGAUCCGAGCCGGCCGGAGCACGCCAGGCCUGAGCUGGGCAUGCCAAUAGUUGAGUUUCAGGUACAUGCACCUGUUAGAAGAGGACCCAGGUUUGAAGCCACACUGAUUGCUUUGCCUCAACAUUUAUCUGGACUGGAAAUGAUUCGAGAUUUGUGUGAUGGGCAACUGGAGGGGGCAGAAAUUGGCUCAACAGAAAUAACCUUUACACCAGAGAAGAUCAAAGGUGGAAUCCACACAGCAGAUACCAAGACAGCAGGGAGUGUGUGCCUCUUGAUGCAGGUCUCAAUGCCAUGUGUUCUCUUUGCUGCUUCUCCAUCAGAACUUCAUUUGAAAGGUGGAACUAAUGCCGAAAUGGCACCACAGAUCGAUUAUACAGUGAUGGUCUUCAAGCCAAUUGUUGAAAAAUUUGGUUUCGUAUUUAAUUGUGACAUUAAAACAAG
Molecule: small RNA, 684 nt
Filed under: Pongo abelii (Sumatran orangutan)
Lineage: Eukaryota; Metazoa; Chordata; Mammalia; Primates; Hominidae
Description: processed transcript
Source: RNAcentral